AUUGAACGCUGGCGGAAUGCUUUACACAUGCAAGUCGAACGGCAGCACGGACUUCGGUCUGGUGGCGAGUGGCGAACGGGUGAGUAAUGUAUCGGAACGUGCCCAGUCGUGGGGGAUAACGUAGUGAAAAUUACGCUAAUACCGCAUACGAUCUAUGGAUGAAAGCGGGGGAUCGCAAGACCUCGCGCGAUUGGAGCGGACGAUAUCAGAUUAGGUAGUUGGUGGGGUAAAGGCCCACCAAGCCAACGAUCUGUAGCUGGUCUGAGAGGACGACCAGCCACACUGGAACUGAGACACGGUACAGACUCCUACGGGCGGCAGCAGUGGGGAAUUUUGGACAAUGGGCGAAAUCCUGAUCCAGCCAUGCCGCGGGCAGGAUGAAGGCCCUCGGGUUGUUAACUGCUUUUGUACAGAACGAAAAGGUUUCUACUAAUACUAGGAGCUCAUGACGGUACUGUAAGAAUAAGCACCGGCUAACUACGUGCCAGCCGCCGCCGUAA
Molecule: ribosomal RNA, 500 nt
Filed under: uncultured bacterium
Lineage: Bacteria
Description: partial 16S ribosomal RNA
Rfam family: Bacterial small subunit ribosomal RNA
Source: RNAcentral